UACGGAGGGGGCAAGCGUUGUUCGGAAUUACUGGGCGUAAAGCGCACGUAGGCGGUUUUGUAAGUCUGGGGUCAAAGGCGACAGCUCAACUGUCGUAAGGCCUUAGAUACUAUAGAACUGGAGUGCCAGAGAGGAUGGCGGAAUUCCCGGUGUAGCGGUGAAAUGCGUAGAGAUCUGGAGGAAUACCGGUGGCGAAGGCGGCCCCCUGGACAAAGACUGACGCUCAGGCACGAAAGCGUGGGGAGCAAACAGG
RNAcentral lists this ribosomal RNA (253 nucleotides) under uncultured microorganism. RNAcentral describes it as "partial 16S ribosomal RNA". It matches the Rfam family "Bacterial small subunit ribosomal RNA", at positions 524 to 776 of the family's 1533-position model. The record is from RNAcentral.